GAUGAACGCUGGCGGCGUGCCUAAUACAUGCAAGUCGAGCGAACAGACGAGGAGCUUGCUCCUCUGACGUUAGCGGCGGACGGGUGAGUAACACGUGGAUAACCUACCUAUAAGACUGGGAUAACUUCGGGAAACCGGAGCUAAUACCGGAUAAUAUAUUGAACCGCAUGGUUCAAUAGUGAAAGACGGUUUUGCUGUCACUUAUAGAUGGAUCCGCGCCGCAUUAGCUAGUUGGUAAGGUAACGGCUUACCAAGGCGACGAUGCGUAGCCGACCUGAGAGGGUGAUCGGCCACACUGGAACUGAGACACGGUCCAGACUCCUACGGGAGGCAGCAGUAGGGAAUCUUCCGCAAUGGGCGAAAGCCUGACGGAGCAACGCCGCGUGAGUGAUGAAGGUCUUCGGAUCGUAAAACUCUGUUAUUAGGGAAGAACAAAUGUGUAAGUAACUAUGCACGUCUUGACGGUACCUAAUCAAAAAGCCACGGCUAACUACGUG
This 497-nucleotide ribosomal RNA is filed under the name uncultured bacterium. Its description in RNAcentral is "partial 16S ribosomal RNA". It matches the Rfam family "Bacterial small subunit ribosomal RNA", at positions 28 to 507 of the family's 1533-position model. The record is from RNAcentral.